This 135-nucleotide ribosomal RNA is filed under the name uncultured bacterium. RNAcentral's name for it is "partial 16S ribosomal RNA". The record is from RNAcentral.
CACGAAGUUAGCCGGGGCUUCUUCUCCGGAUACCGUCAUUAUCUUCUCCGGUGAAAGAGCUUUACAACCCUAAGGCCUUCAUCACUCACGCGGCAUGGCUGGAUCAGACUUGCGCCCACUGUCCAAUAUUCCCCA